Molecule: transfer RNA, 72 nt
Filed under: Sus scrofa (pig)
Lineage: Eukaryota; Metazoa; Chordata; Mammalia; Artiodactyla; Suidae
Rfam family: tRNA
About the family: Transfer RNA (tRNA) molecules are approximately 80 nucleotides in length. Their secondary structure includes four short double-helical elements and three loops (D, anti-codon, and T loops).
Source: Rfam by way of RNAcentral
UCCCUGGUGGCCUAGUGGUUAAGGAUCCAGCGUUGUCACUGCUGUGGCUUGGGUCGAUUCCUGGCCUGGGAA